GGUUGAUCCUGCCAGUAGUCAUAUGCUUGUGUUAAAGAUUAAGCCAUGCAUGUCUAAGUACAGGUAGCAAAACCGAAACUGCGGAUGGCUCAUUACAACAGUUAUUAUUGAAACAGUGAAUAUUUGGGAAUAAAGGAGCAAUCCUUGAAGACAAAGAAAUAGAUGGAUAACCCUGCUAAUCGUAGAGCUAAUACAUGAAGUCAAGGCUCGGCGGAGAAUGGGAGGCACAGCUGAGCUCGGUUGAUGGAGAACAAAAAGUCAGACUUCUGACAACCCUGAUCCAUUGGUGGUG
This 292-nucleotide ribosomal RNA is filed under the name uncultured eukaryote. RNAcentral describes it as "partial 18S ribosomal RNA". It matches the Rfam family "Eukaryotic small subunit ribosomal RNA", at positions 6 to 240 of the family's 1831-position model. The record is from RNAcentral.